RNAcentral lists this ribosomal RNA (325 nucleotides) under Arthrobacter sp. RNAcentral describes it as "bacterial SSU rRNA". It matches the Rfam family "Bacterial small subunit ribosomal RNA", at positions 831 to 1155 of the family's 1533-position model. Lineage: Bacteria; Bacillati; Actinomycetota; Actinomycetes; Micrococcales; Micrococcaceae. The record is from RNAcentral.
UCCACGUUUUCCGCGCCGUAGCUAACGCAUUAAGUGCCCCGCCUGGGGAGUACGGCCGCAAGGCUAAAACUCAAAGGAAUUGACGGGGGCCCGCACAAGCGGCGGAGCAUGCGGAUUAAUUCGAUGCAACGCGAAGAACCUUACCAAGGCUUGACAUGGACCGGACCGCCGCAGAAAUGUGGUUUCCCCUUUGGGGCCGGUUCACAGGUGGUGCAUGGUUGUCGUCAGCUCGUGUCGUGAGAUGUUGGGUUAAGUCCCGCAACGAGCGCAACCCUCGUUCCAUGUUGCCAGCGCGUAAUGGCGGGGACUCAUGGGAGACUGCCGG